This 292-nucleotide ribosomal RNA is filed under the name uncultured microorganism. RNAcentral's name for it is "partial 16S ribosomal RNA". It matches the Rfam family "Bacterial small subunit ribosomal RNA", at positions 505 to 796 of the family's 1533-position model. The record is from RNAcentral.
GUGCCAGCAGCCGCGGUAAUACGAAGGGUGCAAGCGUUAAUCGGAAUUACUGGGCGUAAAGCGCGCGUAGGUGGUUCGUUAAGUUGGAUGUGAAAGCCCCGGGCUCAACCUGGGAACUGCAUCCAAAACUGGCGAGCUAGAGUAUGGCAGAGGGUGGUGGAAUUUCCUGUGUAGCGGUGAAAUGCGUAGAUAUAGGAAGGAACACCAGUGGCGAAGGCGACUUUCUGGACUGUAACUGACGCUGAGGCGCGAAAGCGUGGGGAGCAAACAGGAUUAGAUACCCUGGUAGUCC